This 387-nucleotide long non-coding RNA is filed under the name Equus asinus (donkey). Its description in RNAcentral is "lncRNA (ENSEASG00005035537.1)". Lineage: Eukaryota; Metazoa; Chordata; Mammalia; Perissodactyla; Equidae. The record is from RNAcentral.
GCAGAUGUAAUUAGGAUAGUAAUCAGGUAUCCUUAAAUUAGGGAGUGCAUCCUGGAUUAUCCAGCCGAGAUCAGUGUAAUCACAUGAUACUGUAUAAACAGAAGAUGCAGGCCAAAGAAAGUCAGAGAAAUGCAUUAGAAUAAGAGGGAGGAGAGAUACAGCAGAAGGUUGAGGGGCUGGCCCCGUGGCUGAGUGGUUAAGUUCGCGCGCUCCGCUGCAGGCAGCCCAGUGUUUCGUUGGUUCGAAUCCUGGGCGCGGACAUGGCACUGCUCAUCAAACCACGCUGAGGCAGCGUCCCACAUGCCACAACUAGAAGGACCCACAACGACGAAUAUACAACUAUGUACCGGGGGGCUUUGGGGAGAAAAAGGAAAAAAUAAAAUCUUU